RNAcentral lists this ribosomal RNA (468 nucleotides) under uncultured bacterium. Its description in RNAcentral is "partial 16S ribosomal RNA". It matches the Rfam family "Bacterial small subunit ribosomal RNA", at positions 28 to 507 of the family's 1533-position model. The record is from RNAcentral.
GACGAACGCUGGCGGCGUGCUUAACACAUGCAAGUCGAACGGAAAGGCCCUGCUUUUGUGGGGUGCUCGUGUGGCGAACGGGUGAGUAACACGUGAGUAACCUGCCCUUGACUUUGGGAUAACUUCAGGAAACAGGGGCUAAUACCGGAUAGGAGCUUCUGAUGCAUGGUGGGGGUUGGAAAGAUUCGGCGGUUGGGGAUGGACUCGCGGCGUAUCAGCUUAUUGGUGGGGUAGUGGCUUACCAAGGUUUUGACGGGUAGCCGGCCUGAGGGGGUGACCGGCCACAUUGGGUCUUACGUGCGGCACAGACACCUACGGGAGGCAGCAGUGGGGAAGAUUGAACAAGGGACGGAAGCCGGGUGCAGCAACGCCGCGUGCGGGAUGACGGCCUUCUGGUUGUAAACCGCUUGCGCAUGUGACGAAGCGUGAGUGACGGUAAUGGGUAAAGAAGCACCGGCUAACUACGUG